Molecule: ribosomal RNA, 364 nt
Filed under: uncultured eukaryote
Lineage: Eukaryota
Description: partial 18S ribosomal RNA
Rfam family: Eukaryotic small subunit ribosomal RNA
Source: RNAcentral
CAAAAGCGUAUAUUAAAGUUGUUGCAGUUAAAAAGCUCGUAGUUGAACCUUGGGCUUGGCUGGCCGGUCCAUCUUUUUUGAUGCGUACUGGACCCAGCCGAGCCUUUCCUUCUGGCUAGCCUUUUGGCGAACCAGGACUUUUACUUUGAAAAAAUUAGAGUGUUCAAAGCAGGCCUUUGCUCGAAUAUAUUAGCAUGGAAUAAUAGAAUAGGACGUUAUGGUUCUAUUUUGUUGGUUUCUAGGACCAUCGUAAUGAUUAAUAGGGACGGUCGGGGGUAUCAGUAUUCAGUUGUCAGAGGUGAAAUUCUUGGGUUUACUGAAGACUAACUACUGCGAAAGCAUUUACCAAGGACGUUUUCAUUAA